Heterocephalus glaber (naked mole-rat) is the source of this 723-nucleotide long non-coding RNA. The record is from Ensembl. NCBI's taxonomy places the organism in Eukaryota, Metazoa, Chordata, Mammalia, Rodentia, Bathyergidae.
GUGAAGCAUGGCAGUAGAUGCUUUUUUUUUUUGUACCAGGGAUUGAACUCAGGACCUUGUGUUUGUAAGGCAGGCGGCGGAACCACUGAGCUAAAUCCCCGGCUUAGAUGCUAUUCUUAAUGUGGUGGUGAACAUAACUGAAAGCAAAAGUCCACAGCUGGGAAAAUUAGUUUUCCUGUUCUUCUAUUUUCAGACCUUAGCUGAAACAACAUCUAGAGAUAUCCUUAGGAAAGGAAAUUAUUCCAUAACAUGCAAGAAAAAAUGGUGUAAAAGGAACAUUCUAAACUCUUAAGUUUAAACAAAAGUAGUGUAGAAAGUAUUUUUAAGACUAGCUUCAUCUCAAGCAGGGUUACCAUAUAAUCCAGCAGCUCUACGUGCAUAUCCAAAAGAAUUGAAAGCAAAUUCAAAUACUUGUACCCAGUGUUUACAGCAUAACCAGUGUUCCUGAUAACCAGUGUUCAUAGCAGCAGCAUUCAUAGUGGCCAAAAUGUGGAAGCAACCCAGUGUCCACCAACAGCUGGCUUGUUAAAUGUUAUCCUACUGCCUUCUGGCCUCCAUGAUUUGUGAUCAGAAAGUAUGUGCUAAUCUUACCGAAGAUCCCUUGUAGAUGGUUUCUCUGGAGGGAUGGGUGUUUGGACUGUCUGCUUCACCAUUUUGCUGAAAUCAUUCUAUAAAUGUAUUUUUGAACUAUAAUUAUGUGAAGAGAACUUUCUUAGCCUAAAA